GCGCAGCCGCCGCCCUCAACCGCUCCCAGCAUCGGUUGCCGGUGGUUCGGGGCAGGGAGACGACGCAGCGCGAGCGGAAAGGGCGGUUACCCAACGGCCUUAGCUCUCAUGGCGUCCUCCGUGGUGUUACCUAAAAAUAAAGUUAUUUGUGAUUAGAAGGUAAUCGCCUCCUGGUCAUGCUUCCGCUGGUCACCAGUGUCUGCGGGGCGACCCCAUCCUUGUGGCCAGAGAGGGCCUGUGGCUGCGCUCAAGGCGGGAGCGGUCCUUAGCGGGGCCCUGCGGGACGCCCAGGCCGUGCUCCUUUCCCUUGCUCGCCUGGCCUUGAAGUGAAGGGGGAGGUUUAACAAUGCAGUGGGAACCCCAAAGUUUGUCUCGGCCGUGCUGCUCACAUUCCAAACAAUGCAAAAGGUUGAGGAAAACCUCAGCAGUUGAAACCGUGAUGCAUUUCAGCAAAGAAGUAGCUCCUGUCCUCGUAAAAUCAGUGAAGUUCUCACGGAUGACCUCAUUGAAAGUUUUCAUGGGCUGAGCUGCUGAGUUCAGCCUGGGAACUGAGGCCAACAUCGGAGUCUCCUCGGCACACAAGUUUGAAAGAAGUCCUAGUGACUUCAAGCUCAGAACCAUGGACGGCAGGGCUCCCUCUGGAUGUGGAAUUCUCCGUCCCUUUCCAGGGAGGGAACAAAGCCCACAAGCACCGCUGAAUUUUGGCAAUGGUGACCCUGCCUCAAUCAUGCAAAUGAGACGAAUGCCCUUGCAAAUGACAAAGGCCUAAGAUGGAAGGAGUUUGGAUCUGUGAAUCAUUACAUGGAGAAAAGCCACCUGCUGACCUAGAAACUUACUCUGGAUGAGAUGAGAAAUGAAUUUAUUGUUCUUUAAGAUGCUGACUUUUGGAGGUUUAUUUUUUCUAUCAACAUAGCCACCGUUAUUAACAUGGGGUGGGAGUCAGAGAGUGACACUAGAAACAGGACUAUUUUAAUAAACCAGACACUUUCACUCUCAUGGCUUCAACUAGGCAGAAUGUGACUGACCAACAGUGUGGCUCAUCCUUGUGAAGGAGAACAGAUGCCAAUUAACUUGACAUGACCAUAUCCAACCCAGGAAGUGGGUGGGAGGCUGGAGUACAGUGGCAUGAUCAUAGCUCACUGCAACUUAUACCUCCUGGGCUCAAGCAAUCCUCUUACCUCAGCCUCCUGAGUAGCUGGGACUAUAGUCUCCCUCUCUUGCCAAGCCUGGACUGUACUGCCAUGAUCUCAGCUCGCUGCAACCUCCCUGCCUCAGGUUCUGGUGAUUCUCCUGCCUCGGCCUGACAUUCCAGGCAUGCGCCGCCACUCCUGACUGGUUUUUGUAUUUUUGGUGGAGACGGGGUUUCACCGUGUUGACCGGGCUGAUCUCCAGCUCCUGGCCUCAGGUGAUCUGCCCACCUCGGCCUCCCGAGGUGCUGGGAUUGCAGACGGAGUCUCGCUCACUCAAUGCUCAAUGUUGCCCAGGCUGGAGUGCAGUGGCGUGAUCUCGGCUUGCUACAACCUCCACCUCCCAGCCGCCUGCCUUGGCCUCCCAAAGUGCUAAGAUUACAGCCUCUGCCCACCCGCCACCCCGUCUAGGAAGUGAGCAGCGUCUCUGCCUGGCCGCCCAUCAUCUAGGAUGUGAGGAGCACCUUUGCCCGGCCGCCCCAUCUGGGAAGUGAGGAGCGCCUCUGCCCGGCCACCCCGUCUGGGAGGUGAGGAGCAUCUCUGCCCGGCCACCCUGUAUGGGAGGUGAGGAGCGCCUCUGCCCGGCUGCCCAGUAUGGGAAGUGAGGAGCGCCCCUGCCCACCCGCCCAUCGUCUGGGAAGUGAGGAGCACCUCUGCCCGGCCGCCCCGUCUGGGAUGUGAGGAGCGCCUCUUCCCGGCUGCCACGCCAUCUGGGAAGUGAGGAAUGCCUCUGCCCGGCUGCCCCAUCUGGGAAGUGAGGAGCGCCUCUGCCCGGCCGCCACCGCAUCUGGGAAGUGGGGAGUGCCUCUGCCCGGCCGCCCCAUCUGGGAUGUGAGGAGCGCCUCUGCCUGGCCUCCCCAUCUGGGAGGUGGGGAGCGCCUCUGCCCGGCCGCCCCGUCUGGGAGGUGAGGAGCAUCUCUGCCCGGCUGCUCAUCAUCUGGGAUGUGAGGAACACCUCUGCCCAGCUGCCCCGUCUGGGAAGUGAGGAGCACCUCUGCCCAGCCGCCCUUCGUCUGGGAGGUGAGGAGCGUCUCUGCCCGGCCGCCCAUUGUCUGGGAUGUGAGGAGCACCUCUGCCCGGCUGCCCCAUCUGGGAAGUGAGGAGUGCCUCUGCCUGGCCGCCCCAUCUGGGAGGUGUACCCAACAGCUCCGAAGAGACAGCGACCAUCGAGAACGGGCCAUGAUGACGAUGGUGGUUUUGUUGAAAAAUAAAGGGGGAAAUGUGGGGAAAAGAAAGAGAGAUCAGAUUGUUACUGUGUCUGUGUAGAAAGAAGUAGACAUAGGAGACUCCAUUUUGUUCUGUACUAAGAAAAAUUCUUCUGCCUUGGGAUGCUGUUAAUCUAUAACCUUACCCCCAACCCCGUGCUCUCUGAAACAUGUGCUGUGUCAACUCAGGGUUAAAUGGAUUAAGGGUGGUGCAAGAUGUGCUUUGUUAAACAGAUGCUUGAAGGCAGCAUGCUCCUUAAGAGUCAUCACCACUCCCUAAUCUCAAGUACCCAGGGACACAAACACUGCAGAAGGCCGCAGGGACCUCUGCCUAGGAAAACCAGAGACCUUUGUUCACGUGUUUAUCUGCUGACCUUCUCUCCACUAUUAUCCUAUGACCCUGCCACAUCCCCCUUGCCGAGAAACACCCAAGAAUGAUCAAUAAAUACUAAAAAAAAAAAAAA
This is an RNA transcript of Pan troglodytes (chimpanzee), 2856 nucleotides long. It is a transcript of the gene named major facilitator superfamily domain-containing 14C-like, with no coding region annotated. The record is from RefSeq and is a predicted model, not a curated record. NCBI's taxonomy places the organism in Eukaryota, Metazoa, Chordata, Mammalia, Primates, Hominidae. The transcript is spliced from 6 exons.